AUUGAACGCUGGCGGCAUGCCUUACACAUGCAAGUCGAACGGUAACAGGUCUUCGGAUGCUGACGAGUGGCGAACGGGUGAGUAAUACAUCGGAACGUGCCUAGUAGUGGGGGAUAACUACUCGAAAGAGUGGCUAAUACCGCAUGAGAUCUACGGAUGAAAGCAGGGGAUCGCAAGACCUUGUGCUACUAGAGCGGCCGAUGGCAGAUUAGGUAGUUGGUGGGAUAAAAGCUUACCAAGCCGACGAUCUGUAGCUGGUCUGAGAGGACGAUCAGCCACACUGGGACUGGUACACGGCCCAGACUCCUACGGGAGGCAGCAGUGGGGAAUUCUGGACAAUGGGCGAAAGCCUGAUCCAGCAAUGCCGCGUGCAGGAUGAAGGCCUUCGGGUUGUAAACUGCUUUUGUACGGAACGAAAAGCCCCGGGUUAAUACCCUGGGGUCAUGACGGUACCGUAAGAAUAAGCACCGGCUAACUACGUGCCAGCCGCCGCAGUAA
Molecule: ribosomal RNA, 498 nt
Filed under: uncultured bacterium
Lineage: Bacteria
Description: partial 16S ribosomal RNA
Rfam family: Bacterial small subunit ribosomal RNA
Source: RNAcentral